UCCAUAUUGAAUAGGCGUAACUUCAUGUUCCAACGAAAAUGCAUCAACAUGAAGUUUCGCCCAAUUGAAUUUUAUCAAUUAUUUGAAAGUUUUAAGUAAUUUUAAGAUGAAACCGCGUUUAAUAGGUAAAGUGCAACCGCGUGCAUCCGGAAUAACCGUUAACUCGAUUUGUUUACAUUUGGUAGUUUCGCCCUUUUGAAAUGUUACGCUAGAAAUCAUUCCGAUUGAAAUGGCGACUGGUGGGGUCUACGCUGCGCGGAGCUCCUGCGAGUGCUGUUCGGAGAAACAGAUUUAUCGCGCGUUGCAGAGAAUGAAAGGUCGAGGAAAUACCGUUCGGACAUAGUUUUAUUUUGAGUUGGAAUGUUCCGGGGUUGUGGAGUGGCGUAAUCGCAAAAAGAUAUCCAGCAUCAGAGGUUUCACCAAAUGUGAUAGCUAAGGAGACGGGAAUACGGGUUUCGACGUGUGGUUGUCUAAUUGCCCUGGCUUCCGGUAUUGAAAAAAAGUUGGACUAGGAAAGAAAAUUAUAUUUUGUGUACCAGUGAGAAAUAUAUUUAUUUCUCACUGGUACACAAAAUGUGUAAUGUAUGUGUAACUAUAAGAUGGCUUAAUAAAAGUAAAACAACCUAAAAUUCUAAUCAUAAAAUUGAAUUUCAUCAUUUAAAUUUGGGAAAUCACAUGUCAAAUGAAGUUGCCACGCAGACAUACGCAAUGCUUGUCAAUACACGCACACAAAUGUACAAACGACUCACACCAAGAAAAUCAAACACUGACAGAUGUCAAACAAGCUGUCAUUCUAAAAAUUCAUUUCUAAUCAUUAAAAUUCAUUAGCUUGGGCCAUUUUCCACUAGAAAACAAUGAGAUGGCUAGUAGGUGGCAAGUAGGAUUCCUACUAAUCUUUCUAGUGGUCCUACUACUCUUUUCCGUCAAAGGGCGAUCACGAUCGUCGUUCGAUUGGAUCGUGAAAGAUCUCAUAAUUAUGAGUUAUUUUCAGAGUUCAUUUACAGUGUGUAGAAUAUAAAUCCGGACAUGACAGCGAGUGAUCGUGUGAUUUGCAAGUAUGACAAAAUUUGGGCCCUGGACAAUUGCCGCUGUCGUGAUUUGUGCUAGAACAAACACUACACGCGCGUUUGUUCGGACAUCGGCUCUUCGGGUGACCAUAUGAGAAGCAAAGGCGGUAUAGCAAUGGCUGUGGUACGUAGACACGGGUUCGGACUUCGGACUCGGAGAAGACCAAAAUCCACGAACUCGGGGAUGAUCGUACUGCUUAUAGUAAGGACUAAGGUUGGUGUAAGGUUAGGAAAAGGUACACGCAGAGAAAACGUGACAUUGAAACAAAAGAAAUACGUUUUUGAAUCAAGGUUCUAGUGUUAUUUGAAUCUAAACCUUAUUUUUUUUAUUUAAAUUUUUUUUCUAUCAAAAGGAAAGAAAAUUAUUUUGAGUUAAUGUACAGGAAUUUUGACUUGACGUACUGUACUUAAAAUCAAAAGACAAUAAAUUCGUGCUACAGUCAAUGAAAAAAUUCUUUGAUUUUGUUUAAAUUUUCUUCGAAACCAACAGCGAUGGAAAACACUGUGGCGGAAAGUUCUCAAUACCGUGGAAGAUUUUUGGUGAGUUUUCUUUAAAUUUAUCUGAAGUGAAUUAUUAAAUUUUUAAAUUAGUUUUAGGUAUUCAGCCGACGACGAUUAGUUCUAAAGAAAGAGCGAAUUGAAAGCUGUGAAAUUUCAAGUUGCCCAAUUUAUAAUAUGAUCCGCUUGUUGGCCAAAAAUUCGUCUGCAGAUCAAUGUAAGCAUGUUGAAAAGUGAGUACCUUCAAUAUUAUAUACUGUUGAACUACGAUCUUUAAAUUGCUAGUGCUUAACUACC
This is a long non-coding RNA of Uranotaenia lowii, 1862 nucleotides long. RefSeq lists it as uncharacterized. The record is from RefSeq and is a predicted model, not a curated record. Lineage: Eukaryota; Metazoa; Arthropoda; Insecta; Diptera; Culicidae. The transcript has 3 exons.